CCUAGAUGGACCUGGCAAUAUAUAUCUAUAUCGUACACGGCAGGUAAGUGGAUGUUAAUUGUUAAAACGACUGAAUUUUCAUACUGAUCUGGAUAGAUCUUGUCCCAUUUUAUUAAUUAGAGCUCCUCUCUGGCCUCUUUAGAUUAAUCAGUUUGGCAUUCAGGUCACUAAGAGAAUUGACCUGAUACUUUGCAAUAGCUCAGAGUAAGCGCUGCGGAAUCUGAUGGCGAUGAUCAGGGUCAUGGCCUGACCAUGAUGCUGAGCUCCCGCCGAGAAUAGGCCCUACAGCGCCCAAAAGCUAACAAGUGAGCAAAAAAUCACCCUAAUGUGCACCCAGCAUGGAUAAAACAAUCCAGCGGAAACCCCAAAUGAAGCCGUCAGAUGCGAGCACCUUGGUGGCCGACAUGUUUGCGGUAUCUUGCGCGGCCCAGCCAGACCACCAAGAUGGUGGCCGAUACAGCCCCAAAACCACCUCGACGCCGGCUCACCCAGAGACUCCCCCAGUGCCCCAAUUCACCAAAGGGGGAUACCUCCCAAAUCCUAACUAAACUGAUGGAGGUGAAAACUUACCUGGCAGG
Pelobates cultripes (western spadefoot toad) is the source of this 578-nucleotide non-coding RNA. The record is from the annotation of a GenBank genome assembly. Lineage: Eukaryota; Metazoa; Chordata; Amphibia; Anura; Pelobatidae.